Molecule: ribosomal RNA, 510 nt
Filed under: uncultured bacterium
Lineage: Bacteria
Description: partial 16S ribosomal RNA
Rfam family: Bacterial small subunit ribosomal RNA
Source: RNAcentral
GACGAACGCUGGCGGCGUGCUUAACACAUGCAAGUCGAACGAAGAGCGAUGGAAGCUUGCUUCUAUCAAUCUUAGUGGCGAACGGGUGAGUAACGCGUAAUCAACCUGCCCUUCAGAGGGGGACAACAGUUGGAAACGACUGCUAAUACCGCAUACGAUCUAAUCUCGGCAUCGAGGAUAGAUGAAAGGUGGCCUCUACAUUUAAGCUAUCACUGAAGGAGGGGAUUGCGUCUGAUUAGCUAGUUGGAGGGGUAACGGCCCACCAAGGCGAUGAUCAGUAGCCGGUCUGAGAGGAUGAACGGCCACAUUGGGACUGAGACACGGCCCAGACUCCUACGGGAGGCAGCAGUGGGGAAUCUUCCGCAAUAGACGAAAGUCUGACGGAGCAACGCCGCGUGAGUGAUGACGGCCUUCGGGUUGUAAAGCUCUGUUAAUCGGGACGAAAGGCCUUCUUGCGAACAGUCAGAAGGAUUGACGGUACCGGAAUAGAAAGCCACGGCUAACUACGUG